UGCAACAAUGCUGUUUUUGUCUGACUUGUGGGCUAAGAUUUAUGGAGAGGUGCAAAAAAUAAAUCCUCCUUUGCAACCCAGAACUCACUAUUGAGUAUGAGUUUUGAUACUAUAAGAAGGAAUAUU
Molecule: small nucleolar RNA, 126 nt
Organism: Heterocephalus glaber (naked mole-rat)
Lineage: Eukaryota; Metazoa; Chordata; Mammalia; Rodentia; Bathyergidae
Product: small nucleolar RNA, H/ACA box 40C
Source: Ensembl